AGCGAACGCUGGCGGCAGGCCUAACACAUGCAAGUCGAACGGAUCCUUCGGGAUUAGUGGCGGACGGGUGGGUAACACGUGGGAACGUGCCCUUUGGUUCGGAACAACUCAGGGAAACUUGAGCUAAUACCGGAUGUGCCCUUCGGGGGAAAGAUUUAUCGCCAUUGGAGCGGCCCGCGUCUGAUUAGCUAGUUGGUGAGGUAACGGCCCACCAAGGCGACGAUCAGUAGCUGGUCUGAGAGGAUGAUCAGCCACACUGGGACUGAGACACGGCCCAGACUCCUACGGGAGGCAGCAGUGGGGAAUCUUGCGCAAUGGGCGAAAGCCUGACGCAGCCAUGCCGCGUGAAUGAUGAAGGUCUUAGGAUUGUAAAAUUCUUUCAGCGGGGACGAUAAUGACGGUACCCGCAGAAGAAGCUCCGGCUAACUUCGUG
This 433-nucleotide ribosomal RNA is filed under the name uncultured bacterium. RNAcentral's name for it is "partial 16S ribosomal RNA". It matches the Rfam family "Bacterial small subunit ribosomal RNA", at positions 29 to 507 of the family's 1533-position model. The record is from RNAcentral.